AACGAACGCUGGCGGCAGGCUUAACACAUGCAAGUCGAGCGCCCCGCAAGGGGAGCGGCAGACGGGUGAGUAACGCGUGGGAAUCUACCCAUCUCUACGGAAUAACUCAGGGAAACUUGUGCUAAUACCGUAUACGCCCUUAGGGGGAAAGAUUUAUCGGAGAUGGAUGGGCCCGCGUUGGAUUAGCUAGUUGGUGGGGUAAAGGCCUACCAAGGCGACGAUCCAUAGCUGGUCUGAGAGGAUGAUCAGCCACAUUGGGACUGAGACACGGCCCAAACUCCUACGGGAGGCAGCAGUGGGAAAUAUUGGACAAUGGGCGCAAGCCUGAUCCAGCCAUGCCGCGUGAGUGAUGAAGGCCCUAGGGUUGUAAAGCUCUUUCACCGGAGAAGAUAAUGACGGUAUCCGGAGAAGAAGCCCCGGCUAACUUCGUGCCAGCAGCCGCAGUAA
This 447-nucleotide ribosomal RNA is filed under the name uncultured bacterium. RNAcentral's name for it is "partial 16S ribosomal RNA". It matches the Rfam family "Bacterial small subunit ribosomal RNA", at positions 29 to 523 of the family's 1533-position model. The record is from RNAcentral.